This 1283-nucleotide unclassified non-coding RNA is filed under the name Hevea brasiliensis (rubber tree). The record is from RNAcentral. Lineage: Eukaryota; Viridiplantae; Streptophyta; Magnoliopsida; Malpighiales; Euphorbiaceae.
AACAUGCAGAAACUUUUGUUUGAAAAGCAAAUCUUCUCCAACAGUGAUUUCUGUGGAGAAUGCAGAUACAAUCCAAGUGAGUGUUCUGCUUAAUAGAUCAGAAAAGUCCCAAAAGUCCAUGGCACCCGUUGCAGAAUAUUUUCCAGCUUUGGAAGAAGCCAGACUUCUCGUUGUGGAUUUUGAGCUAGAUGUGCUCUGUUAUGCAGCCAAGGAUCUUUCACUGAUGUAUGCAAUUUCAAAGUUGGUAAUACCUGGUUUAGUUGACCAAUUAAACUCAAUGAAGAAAGCUGUCUUGCCCAAACUUUUAACAGAACGUCCACAGCUACAUUCAUACCACUUUAAUCCACCUGGGUUUUUGCAUCCAAUAACUGCCAUCUACGAACUCAGUUAUGGGGAGACGGAAAUGAAACAAGUUGAAGUCAGAAGAUCCUUGCACUUGAGGCUGGGGCUACCUUUUGAUCGUCCUCUUCUACGAGUCGCUAAUGCACUUGAUUUCUCUACAUUGAAGGAUAAUUCAGGAAGUAACUCAAGACGAAAAGGCCUUUCUCUGCUAAAAGAUGUGCAUAUUGGGAUCCCAAGUAGCGGAGUCUCGGGGGGAAUUGUCUCUUUGGUUCAAGGUUCUUAUGAAUAUCAUCAUUAUCUUCAAGAUGGCUUUGAUGACUCGGGCUGGGGUUGUGCUUACCGUUCUCUACAAACUAUCAUUUCAUGGUUCAGACUCCAGCAUUAUACUUCCAUUGAAGUUCCCUCUCAUAGGGAAAUACAGCAAUCACUAGUGGAAAUUGGUGAUAAAGAUCCUUCUUUUAUUGACUCACGUGAAUGGAUUGGUGCUAUUGAGUUGAGCUUUGUUUUGGAUAAGCUUCUGGGUGUAACUUGCAAAAUCAUAAAUGUCAGAUCAGGAGCUGAGCUUCCUGAAAGAUGUAGAGAGCUGGCCUUGCACUUUGAGAAUCAAGGAACACCUAUUAUGAUAGGUGGCGGUGUUCUUGCAUAUACACUUUUGGGAGUUGAUUACAAUGAAAGUAGUGGAGAUUGUGCUUUUCUAAUACUUGAUCCUCAUUAUACUGGAAAUGAUGAGCACAAGAAAAUUAUAAAUGGUGGUUGGUGUGGAUGGAAAAAAGCUGUUGAUAGCAAGGGAAAGAAUUUCUUCUUGCAUGACAAGUUCUAUAAUCUUCUCCUGCCACAAAGGCCCAACAUGGUUUAGUGCGGUCAACUUGGUAUCCUCAACACCUCCAUACAUAAAAGGAAGCUUUAUAACAAUUUGCAUGCCAUGAAAAGUUUAUAAUUUA